UUUCCUGUGGCUCAGUUGGUAGAGCAUUACGCGGACAGCGCAAAGGUUGUGGGUUCAAAUCCCAGGGCAAAA
This is a non-coding RNA of Danionella cerebrum, 72 nucleotides long. The record is from the annotation of a GenBank genome assembly. NCBI's taxonomy places the organism in Eukaryota, Metazoa, Chordata, Actinopteri, Cypriniformes, Danionidae.